Molecule: long non-coding RNA, 4521 nt
Organism: Chloebia gouldiae (Gouldian finch)
Lineage: Eukaryota; Metazoa; Chordata; Aves; Passeriformes; Passeridae
Source: Ensembl
CUCUGGCAAAAUAAGAUCCUGGAGUACAUAUCCCUGGAACUGGGCAAUGAUUUGUAACUCUUUUUUUAAUUCUGUCUGGCCAGAGUGUUAUAAAUCUGGCGCUCGCUUGUUAGCUUCACGCUAGGCAGCAAUAAUGUCCACAGUGUUUUAGUCCUGAUAAUUCUAAUUAUGGAAGCACUGAAGAAGCUGAACGCUGAGAAGAUGGACAAGGCUGGCCUCAAGUCCUGCACAGCACAGGGGAUUCUCUCUUUGUAGAGUUGAACCAUAAUUCUGUCUUUCACCAAGGCCAGCAAUGGAAGCAGCAGCCGAGGUGUAUUACUCCUGUGGUGCAGUGGUGGAAUCAAUGGAAAGAGGCCUGAUUUUGUCACCAGGUUUUCCAAACAACUACUACCCAGGGACACACUGCGUCUGGCAGUUUUUCAUUCCCAUGAGAACCCAUCUCAUCUUGGAAAUAUUUGACUUUGACAUUUUUGAGAGCUCUAGUGAAACUCCAACCCCCUGGGAUGGAUUUUCAGCCCCUGCUACAACAGAAAAUAAGGACAAGCCUUCUCUUGAGGAAAACCUGGACUUUGCUGUCCACACCACAAAACCCUCUCUCCAGCCCUCGACGUCGAAGGUGGCUCAGAAUCUGAGCAGCACCAGAGACCAGUCAAAGGACUUUGCUGGUCGCCUGGAUGAACUUCCAGGAACCAUCUCAAAAAAAAAAUGAAGCCAAACAAGCAUCUGAAGAAAACCAGUGGAAGCAGAUGAAGGAAUCCAAAGCAAUUACCAAGGCUCAGCCAGAGGAGCUGCUAUUCCCUGUGGCUGGUAGCGCCUCAGUGCAGAGGCAGAAUACCAGCAGGCUGGAAACAGGAGAGGAUUUGCAAGGGAAGAUGUUGCUUGCCCACCUAGCUGCUAGUGAGAGAGAUGAAGUCACAGCAGAGAGCUGGACACUUCCCUCAACAGCACUGCCCAUGGAAAUCUCCUCCAGCCCUCAGACAGCAGUGGAUGUCUGUCCCCAUGAUGUAUUAUACGUUUCUGAUCUCAUCACAUUUUCCUCUCGCUUCUGCGGCCCAAAUUCCCCUGUGAACAAGACCAUGGUCUUUGGGUCAUCUCUGGAAAUGGUUGAGGUUAUCAUGGAGCUGAUCACCACCACGGACCGGGGCCGAGGCUUUGCGAUGCUGUUCGAGUACAGGAACUUCAGUGACCCCAGCACUGUGGAUGCUGUGAGGCAGGAGAGGAAGGAAAACAUGAUGAUGCUGGCAAUUGUAACAGGGAUUGUUGUCUUUGCUCUUGCUUUGCUCUCUGCCCUCUGCAUAGUUUGCAGGCAGAGAACGUGCCCCAAAAGGAGCUCAUCCAACGCAUGCAGUGACCAGGAGAACAGGAUCCAGAACUCCACAGUCGAUGUCAAUGAGCUCCAGCUGGUGGUGCCAAGCCGGGAGAAUGAAAACAACAACCACUCUGUGAGCCGGGAGCAGGCGGUCACUUCCUGCAGAGGCAGCACAGAACGGUCUCCUCAGGACACUGACCCAGAUGUGCCCUCCUCCAUCUCUGCAGUGACCACUGAGACUGGGAGUGAUGAAGUGUUUAUCAUUUCUGCUGGACCUGGGACCAGUGGGCUGAGCUUUACCACCUACAGGAUACAGGACAAAAACCUGAAAAGAAGCGUCACAAGCCCGGCCUCUGUGUCUGACUGGCUGAGCUCCCAGCCCACAGCUGCAGGGGCAGAUGCUGCUGAGAAGGGGAACGUGCAGCUGGAGCAUCCCUGUCCCAGGCAGCGCACCUGGAGCGCCCGAACCUUCCACGACUUCCUGGCUCCAAUACCACAGCUACAGAAAAAAUGGUGCAGCUGGAGCACCAACAGCCCCUUCACAAAGCUGGUUGACAGCAGUGGUUUUUCUACAGCUGCAAGACCCCAAGGUGUGCCAACCAGAAAGGUAAUCUCAGCCACUGAGAUAGAGGGAGCAUCAGAGACUGUUUACUCUGAUUCAUCUGCCAGUAAUGCCUCAUAUCCCCUCACUCUGUCUGCACAGAGGCAGCGAAAGUUAACCUCCUGCAAUUUGAAGAAAUCCAGAUUUGGGAACCCUUAUUUUGGAUUUUUAGCCAGUUCCCCUGACAGCAAACAUAUGAGGUCCUUGGAUCCCUCAAGACAUCUAGGGACAGCAUCUCCAGUUAACAGCCAAAGCCCAAAAAAUCUUCUAGAGAGCUCCAACUCCUUGAAAAUCAACUUGGUCAACGGUUCAAAAACAAAGGAGCUUAUGGUAGAAACAGAUAAAAACAAACCAGUUUUUGUUAUUUCUGAAGAAGGGGAUGAUCAGCAGCCUCUGGUCCUGGCAGAACACCUCAGUCAGUGUGGAGAUCACCUGUCAGAGCAAAAUGCUGUGUAUGCUCCGGCCGUGCCAGAGAAGCAGCCGGUGGUUCUGACUGCGGAGAGGAACAGCUCUGCCCCCUUCACAUCGAGCCUUCCCCUCUGGGCAAAAUCCCCCACUUCACACAAAGGCCACGGGAAGGCCCCCAGCUCCUCCAGGGACCAGCAGAGCUCGGUGGGUGGAGAUGCCAACACUGCUGAGCCCCCACAGAACUGCGACACCCCCGCUGCUCCUGCGCUCUGCCAAGCUUCAGUCCACUGAUGUCCUGGGAAAGUCUGAAACGUCAGUUCCCAACCCCAGAGGGAACAGGGACAUGAGCAGAGCAGAAGCUGUGCCGAGCAGUUGAGUGUGGCAGUCACAUGUGGCAGCUUUGUUGAGAGCAGUCUUUGCUUCCCACAUGUUGGGACAGAGAUUACAAGGAUACAAACCACAGCACAGCACAAAUACCAUCUCCCCUUCAGCUCACUAAUCUCAUCUCUCUUCUCCUGCAUGAGACUUGGAUGUAGUUUGUACAAGAAAGAAUCCUCUGAAAAGGUACCUCAGACUGCAAAACCCCUUUUCUGGGAUGGGAAUGAAAGUAACCGGGGCCGGUCACACCGUGGUUUAUAUCUGAAAUGUCAAUCAGUCCCCUGUCCCUGUGGCAUCACUUGAGUCUUUCUGUUGGGAGCUCCGAGUUAGCUUCUGUUUAUAGCUCUGCCUGUACAAUCCAAGCCUUGCCAAGCCAAGGGCAAGAAUUCAGCCAUGCAUGUUUGCAUACAGUUUCGUAAACUUCAUUUUAAGUAUUUCAUAACUUCUGCAGUCUAGCACAAAGCUUACCAAGCAUUAGCAACUCUAAUAUUAAAAAGCAAGAUUAUCUCAUCUCCUAACUCUUUAGAGAAGUGUACAGACAAACUGAGCAGCCCAAUACCAGCUGCUUGUUCUAUUAAAGUCUGAUGUAGCUUUAUCUUUAUUAGGUCUACAUAGGCUUAGAACACCCCAGUCCACUACAUUAAAUGACUCCUCAUGGCAACAGGAGCAUGUGUACAAAAACACUGAAAUACUAGGAAUAGUCUUCAGCAUCCAACACUUGGAUAUUUGCAGCUGCUCUGAUCCUAUAUUCACCAGCUAUUUAUUGCUGGUAACGCACAUUGACUAGAGAGCUAUUCCCCUUCCUUUAGCAGGCAAGACUUGAAAUACAAAAUUAAGGUGAGGCAAACUUUGAGUGCUCACUUUCUUUAGAAAUUAACCCUACGUGGCUGUGCCUCCCUGAGUACAAAUCCAGGGCAUUCAAUGGAACACUGAACCAAAAGGAAGCUUGCUAUUGCCUUUAAUAACCCCAUCGGUAUUUUAAUUUCUUCCUGCUGGUAUUUUCCUAUCUUUGCAAGAGACUCCUGCAUGUUUGUCCCACAAUUCAGAAUUGUUUUUCUUUCUUAAAUGAAACAAUUCCCUCUGAAGCUGCAUUUUGCAGCUGAGACAGCACAUUGUUUUAAAGCAAUAGUAUGUCACAAAACAGGUGUCAGAAAGAAACCUUCUGCACAAGUCUUCCCCUUUAUUAGCUGCUGUGUGCAUCCAGUUAUCUUAAUCCUUCUCUGUGAAGGCAUUUAAGACUGAUUGCUAAAAUAUUUAACGGAAUUAUUUAUGAUUUCACCUGCUGCUACAGCUUCCAUUUGCCACCAUUAAUGUCUGAGAUAUGCAACACAAGACUAUAGGUUUUGCCUUAUAUUUUCUCUUUGUGUUUACACGUCUACCUAGACAUAGAAGCUGUGCAGCUGGUAGCAGUGGAAGCAAAAACACACUUGCCCUUUAGCAGCUGACUCAAACAUGAACAGCAAACAAGUCUCUGCAUUUAUUAUUUCCAGUCUGUGUUCAGUGCCAAAGUCUGGCUCCAUGUUGGUUGCUUCUUUUUUGGUGGGUAUUUUUUUUUGUCAUUGUUGUUUUAAAUUAAUGCUACUUGAUUCAAAGGGAAGAGAUUAAUAUAUUUAUGAUUUAAAAAAUAUUUAAAAGCCUUCAGUACUCUAACAACAACUUCCACUGCAUUAAAUUCAUACACAUUGUUCUGUUACUUACUAAAUUUCUAAAGUUUGAAAUACUAAAAUCUACUUUUGAAAAGUACUUGUGUUCAAUUAUUGACAAUGGUUACAUUUGAAGGGCUGGAAAAAGUGGCUUUUUCAAUAAAAGCAUGUUUAAUUACUCA